This 1348-nucleotide ribosomal RNA is filed under the name uncultured bacterium. RNAcentral's name for it is "bacterial SSU rRNA". It matches the Rfam family "Bacterial small subunit ribosomal RNA", at positions 27 to 1368 of the family's 1533-position model. The record is from RNAcentral.
GGAUGAACGCUAGCGGCAGGCUUAACACAUGCAAGUCGAGGGGCAUCGGGAGGGAAGCUUGCUUUCCUUGCCGGCGACCGGCGCACGGGUGAGUAACACGUAUGCAACCUGCCCUCUUCAGGGGGACAACCUUCCGAAAGGGAGGCUAAUCCCGCGUAUAUCGGUUUCGGGCAUCCGAGAUCGAGGAAAGAUUCAUCGGAAGAGGAUGGGCAUGCGGCGCAUUAGCUAGACGGCGGGGUAACGGCCCACCGUGGCGACGAUGCGUAGGGGUUCUGAGAGGAAGGUCCCCCACACUGGUACUGAGACACGGACCAGACUCCUACGGGAGGCAGCAGUGAGGAAUAUUGGUCAAUGGGAGAGAUCCUGAACCAGCCAAGCCGCGUGAGGGAAGACGGCCCUAUGGGUUGUAAACCUCUUUUGUCGGAGAACAAAACCCGGGACGUGUCCCGGACUGCGUGUAUCCGAAGAAAAAGCAUCGGCUAACUCCGUGCCAGCAGCCGCGGUAAUACGGAGGAUGCGAGCGUUAUCCGGAUUUAUUGGGUUUAAAGGGUGCGUAGGCGGUCUGUUAAGUCAGCGGUAAAAUUGCGGGGCUCAACCCCGUCGAGCCGUUGAAACUGGCAGACUUGAGUUGGCGAGAAGUACGCGGAAUGCGCGGUGUAGCGGUGAAAUGCAUAGAUAUCGCGCAGAACUCCGAUUGCGAAGGCAGCGUACCGGCGCCAGACUGACGCUGAGGCACGAAAGCGUGGGGAUCGAACAGGAUUAGAUACCCUGGUAGUCCACGCAGUAAACGAUGAAUGCUGGUUGUCCGGGUCGAAUGAGAUCUGGGCGGCGAAGCGAAAGCGAUAAGCAUUCCACCUGGGGAGUACGCCGGCAACGGUGAAACUCAAAGGAAUUGACGGGGGCCCGCACAAGCGGAGGAACAUGUGGUUUAAUUCGAUGAUACGCGAGGAACCUUACCCGGGCUCAAACGGGAGUGGAAUGGACCAGAGACGGUUCAGCCUACGGGCCGCUUCCGAGGUGCUGCAUGGUUGUCGUCAGCUCGUGCCGUGAGGUGUCGGCUUAAGUGCCAUAACGAGCGCAACCCCCGCCGGCAGUUGCUAACGGGCAAUGCCGAGGACUCUGCCGGGACUGCCGCCGCAAGGCGUGAGGAAGGCGGGGAUGACGUCAAAUCAGCACGGCCCUUACGUCCGGGGCGACACACGUGUUACAAUGGGCGGUACAGCGGGAAGCCAGGCGGCGACGCCGAGCGGAACCCGAAAGCCGUUCUCAGUUCGGAUCGGAGUCUGCAACCCGACUCCGUGAAGCUGGAUUCGCUAGUAAUCGCGCAUCAGCCAUGGCGCGGUGAAUA